AUUGAACGCUGGCGGCAUGCUUUACACAUGCAAGUCGAACGGUAACAGGUCUUCGGCUGCUGACGAGUGGCGAACGGGUGCGUAAUACAUCGGAACGCGCCUAGAUGUGGGGGUUAACUAGUCGAAAGAGUAGCUAAUACAGCAUAAGAUCUACGACUGAAUGCGGGGGAAAUUCGGGCAUUGUGCUACUUUAGCGGCUGAUGGCAGAUUAGGUAGUUGGUGGGGUAAAGGCGUACCAAGGCCGCGAUCUGUAGCUGGUCUGAGAGGACGAUCAGCCACACUGGGACUGAGACACGGCCCAGACUCCUACGGGAGGCAGCAGUGGGGAAUUUUGGACAAUGGGCGAAAGCCUGAUCCAGCAAUGCCGCGUGCAUGAUGAAGGCCUUCGGGUUGUAAACUGCUUUUGUACGGAAAGAAAAGCCGGGGGCUAAUAUCCCCGGGUCAUGACGGUACCGAAAGAAUAAGCACCGGCUAACUACGUG
This 482-nucleotide ribosomal RNA is filed under the name uncultured bacterium. RNAcentral's name for it is "partial 16S ribosomal RNA". It matches the Rfam family "Bacterial small subunit ribosomal RNA", at positions 30 to 507 of the family's 1533-position model. The record is from RNAcentral.